CCGCUCUGCUGUUCCGACCUGCAAAAUAAAGUUCAGAAACGGUUCAAACACCCAAACAGUUACGGUUAAUAUAGUUCCGUUCUGUUCCUUUUUAAACCUCUGAAAUCUUUUUUUUUUUUUUUUUUACAUUUAGCUCGACAUGAAAUCACUUCACCAAUCAGUGCAGAUAUAGCAGCUUGCUACGGAGCAGGUCAGAUAUAGCAGGUUGCUAUGGAGCAGGUCAGAUAUAGCAGGUUGCUAUGGAGCAGGUCAGAUAUAGCAGGUCAGAUAUAGCAGCUUGCUAUGGAGCAGGUCAGACAUAACAGGUCAGAUAUAGCAGCUUGCUACGGAGCAGGUCAGAUAUAGCAGCUUGAUAUGGAGCAGGUGAGAUAUAGCAGGUUGCUAUGGAGCAGGUCAGAUAUAGCAGGUUGCUAUGGAGCAGGUCAGAUAAAGCAGGUUGCUAUGGAGCAGGUCAGAUAUAGCAGGUUGCUAUGGAGCCGGUCAGAUAUAGCAGCUUGCUACGGAGCAGGCCAGAUAGAGCAGCUUAAUAUGGAGCAGGUCAGAUAUAGCAGGUUGCCAAGGAGCAGGUCAGAUACAGCAGGUUGCUAUGGAGCAGGUCAGAUAUAGCAGCUUGAUAUGGAGCAGGUCAGAUUUAGCAGGUCAGAUAUAGCAGCUUUCUACGGAGCAGGUCAGAUAUAGCAGCUUGCUGUGGAGCAGGUUGUAAAGACCAGCGUUGGAGAUGAGAAGCAGGUACGGGGAGUCAACAUUUAAUCGGGAACAGACAGGUGACAAGACAGGCACAGUGUCGGCACACGGGUAAACAAGGACAUAUAACAAUCAACGGUGAAGCGGGGAACAGAACUGGGGAACAGACAGAUAUAGGGGAGGUAAUGACACAGGUGAUUGAGUCCAAUAAUCGCUGAUGCGCGUGAUGGGUGAAGGCAGGUGUGUGUAAUGAUGGUGGCAGGAGUGCGUAAAGCUGGGGAGCCUGGUGUGACAGUACACCCCCCCCCCC
This is a long non-coding RNA of Oncorhynchus tshawytscha (Chinook salmon), 994 nucleotides long. Lineage: Eukaryota; Metazoa; Chordata; Actinopteri; Salmoniformes; Salmonidae. The record is from Ensembl.